CGGAGGGUGCGAGCGUUGUCCGGAAUCAUUGGGCGUAAAGGGCGCGUAGGUGGCCCGGUCAGCGUGCGGUGAAAGCUCGGGGCUCAACCCCGAGUCGGCCGUGCGAACUGCUGGGCUUGAGCACUGUAGAGGCAGGCGGAAUUCCGGGUGUAGCGGUGGAAUGCGUAGAGAUCCGGAAGAACACCGGUGGCGAAGGCGGCCUGCUGGGCAGUGGCUGACACUGAGGCGCGACAGCGUGGGGAGCAAACAGGAUUGGAUACCCUGGUAGUCCACGCCGUAAACGAUGGGCACUAGGCGCUUGGGGGAGCGACCCUCCGAGGGCCGGCGCUAACGCGUUAAGUGCCCCGCCUGGGGAGUACGGCCGCAAGGCUG
This 372-nucleotide ribosomal RNA is filed under the name uncultured organism. Its description in RNAcentral is "bacterial SSU rRNA". It matches the Rfam family "Bacterial small subunit ribosomal RNA", at positions 526 to 896 of the family's 1533-position model. The record is from RNAcentral.